GGGAAAACAGGAAGGAUUUAUAUUAUAAACAUGUUACUGUCCAGCUGCUCAUUUUCCUGGCUGGUCUGAUGUUACAGUUUUACUUGAUUCUCUGACGUGGUGGAAAAGAAAGACAAUUGGCUUAAAUUAUCCAGCUCCAUGGAAGCUGCUACACGAGCACGUAAGAAGCCAGGCUCAUACACCAAGGAAAUGCUCCUUGCUGUUCCCCAUCAGAACAGAUCCUACCAGAGCUGGGAGACUUUCUGGAGGAGGACAAGGGUUGCUGCCUCCGGUGUCAUUCCUAACUUCAGGCCAAGUGUUGGGACGGGCAGCACUCAGCUGUCCUGCCUAAAGCGCCAGGUGUCUGCCUGGCAGGAAGAGUCGGAAUAGGAAACCCGACAGAAAAAAACAAAUGGACUGGGACGCACAUGAGCUGAGGGCAUCACUCCCGUCACACUCAUGCAAAGAGUCCGGGGUAAGGAAAGCAGCCGAGUGCCCACAACACAGUAUGUUCUUUUCUUCCGCAAACAGCGUGGAACAGGCAGACCUGUGUGUGGACUGCUGGGGCUGACAUUGAAGUGACCUCUGAAAGCAAACACCCCAAACUGUUAUGUAAACUGCAAUGACUAGACAUUCCCGGCCACCGCAGCACAGAGAGGGCUGUGUUGACAGCCUGGCACCUGGAGGUGGUGAGCCCUUCAGAAGAGAAAGGGCAAGCAAGCAAAUCCUGCCUGACUUUUCAGUGAGGGUUGGGUGAAAUUCUGAGCUUGACUGGAGAUGCUCUGGCCCUGGACUCUCGGGCUCCGACAACGACCCUACACCCUUGACAGAUGACACACGAGGCAGAGGGGAUGAGCAAACAAAAGCAUGAAGAGCUUAAGCAACCUGCCCUAGUCCUGGAACCAGUAGGAGCAUAGUAGGGAUUCCAACACAGGUUGCCUGAGCCCAAAGGCCUUAUUCUUAACAUUAUCGGAUGAUAUCAGAAAUGGAGCAGGCUGAGAAGAUGCGAGAGCCACUUAGCCCAGAGAGAUAGUAAGUUUUGAUAUUUAUUUGACUCAUUUGGAAUAAAUGGAGUCUGUGAGAGGCUAAAACUUGGCCCCUAAAAGUCAUCCACAUCCUAACUCCUGGAGCCUAGAAAUGACCAAAACUGAAGGAAGGGAAGGGAAAAUAAGGGAGGGAAGGAAAAAUAAGGGUGAGAAGGGGGGGUCCUUUGCAGAUGUGAUUAAUUUGAGGAUCUUGGAUUAGAUAAAUAGUUCUGGAUUUAUCAGGGUGGAACCUAAAUGCAAUUGCAAAUGUCCACAUAAGAGUGGACAAGGGAGAGCUGACCAACAGAGAUGUAAUGACAGGGCAGAGAGAGGUGAAGACUGUCUUAAUUCAGGCUGGUAGGACAAAGUACCAUGGACUGGGUGCCUUACAAACAACAGAAGUUUGUUCUCUCGAUUCUGGUGCCUAGCAGUCUAGAGCAACACGGGUGGGUUGUUAUUAAAGCCCUCUUCCUAGUGAUAGCUGGUUACCUUCUUCUUGUAUCUUCACAUGGUAGAGAGCAGAGAGGGAGAGGAAAGGAGUGGUUCCGAGUCUUUUCAUAAAGCACUAAUUCAUUACAAGCCCCCCCCCAUGAGCUAAAUGCCCCACCUCCUAACACCCCCAGACUUCCUAGCAAAGAUGCCGGCCUUGAGACUUGGUGUGACACAGCCACAAACCAAGGCACACCAGUUGCCACCAGAAGCUGGAACAGGUCAGGAACAAGACUGUCCCCAAGAGCUUUGCGGGGAAGCAUGGGCCUCCCCUGACUUCAGAUGUCUGGCCUCCAGAGGAAUCAGAGACAAUUUCUACUGUUUAAAGCCACCAAAUUUGAGGUAAUUUUUUUUAUAGAAGAUGCAGAAAGCUGGUGCAGAAUCCAUAACAUGACUUUGCUACCAGGGGUGUGCACCUGGGGAGGCUCCCCCUCCCCACACACUGCCCGUCCCCACGCCCAGCCCAGUCACCAAGAAGCACAGCGCCUCAUUUCUUAGCACCUUCUCUACUGUACAAUCUCUCAAUAAAGAAUCUGAAAAGAGAAACCAGAAAAUUAAGAGAUUCAACACUAUAACAAAUGACUAGGGCUAUUUUUUUUAAUUAUGACUAAAACAAAAAAAAUUUUUCUGGGGCUCAAAAUGUUUCUAAGCUCAGGACUUUUGUGAAAGCCAAAGUAAACAAUGUUUUAACUUUGCUUCCAAAAUGUUACUGGAUCCACAGAGAUCUGCUGUCUUCACUUUUGUAAUACAAUAAAUAAAUGAUAGUCAACAACUGCUCUAAAAUAGCUAAAGAGUCAUAUUUCAUGAAAUUAGAAACCUUGUGCU
Ictidomys tridecemlineatus (thirteen-lined ground squirrel) is the source of this 2318-nucleotide non-coding RNA. Lineage: Eukaryota; Metazoa; Chordata; Mammalia; Rodentia; Sciuridae. The record is from RefSeq and is a predicted model, not a curated record.